This 269-nucleotide ribosomal RNA is filed under the name uncultured bacterium. Its description in RNAcentral is "partial 16S ribosomal RNA". It matches the Rfam family "Bacterial small subunit ribosomal RNA", at positions 333 to 599 of the family's 1533-position model. The record is from RNAcentral.
GCGUUCCUACGGGGGGCAGCAGUGAGGAAUAUUGGUCAAUGGGCGGGAGCCUGAACCAGCCAAGCCGCGUGAGGGAAGAAGGUACAGCGUAUCGUAAACCUCUUUUGUCAGGGAACAAAGGCGGGGACUAGUCCCCGGAUGAGGGUACCUGAAGAAAAAGCAUCGGCUAACUCCGUGCCAGCAGCCGCGGUAAUACGGAGGAUGCGAGCGUUAUCCGGAUUUAUUGGGUUUAAAGGGUGCGCAGGCGGCACGGCAAGCCGGCGGUCAAA